Molecule: transfer RNA, 73 nt
Filed under: Ferroplasma acidiphilum
Lineage: Archaea; Methanobacteriati; Thermoplasmatota; Thermoplasmata; Thermoplasmatales; Ferroplasmaceae
Also listed under: 9 other names
Description: tRNA-Tyr
Rfam family: tRNA
About the family: Transfer RNA (tRNA) molecules are approximately 80 nucleotides in length.
Source: RNAcentral
CCCGGCUUAGCUCAGUUGGUAGAGCGAUGGACUGUAGAUCCAUAGGUCUCUGGUUCGAAUCCGGAAGCCGGGA